AUUCAAAUAGCUUAAAAAUAAGAGCGUAAUAUUGAAGAUAUUAAGGUAAUAUUAUUAUUUUUGGAUA
Molecule: transfer RNA, 67 nt
Filed under: Cucujus clavipes (red flat bark beetle)
Lineage: Eukaryota; Metazoa; Arthropoda; Insecta; Coleoptera; Cucujidae
Description: tRNA-Phe
Source: RNAcentral